Sander lucioperca (pikeperch) is the source of this 335-nucleotide long non-coding RNA. RefSeq lists it as uncharacterized. The transcript has 3 exons. Lineage: Eukaryota; Metazoa; Chordata; Actinopteri; Perciformes; Percidae. The record is from RefSeq and is a predicted model, not a curated record.
UGAGAGAAGUGUCGGCAUGUCAGACAACAUUUUCAAUAACUAAACACUAACACAAUGUUAACUUUACUCACCAACAGUAAAACGAUGCUUACUAGCUACUGUUGGCCAUUUCAGCAUCAUAUCUGACCGACCACUGUGCAAACAUUACUAUUAUCUUCACCAACCUAGCUUUGUGGACUUUUGACUACUAAUAACCAAGUGAAAGAUAAAUCAUUUAUGGUAAUUACGUUACCUGUCGAGAAGAAAUGUGGCUACGUCUGCAUCGUUCUUCAGAUCUUUAAAAUCCUGCAGCUCACGCCACCUCUGAAAAGCCACUCCAAUAUUCACCCGAGUUU